AGGGCGAACGCUGGCGGCAGGCCUAACACAUGCAAGUCGAGCGCGUGUAGCAAUACACGAGCGGCAGACGGGAGAGUAACACGUGGGAACGCGCCCUUCGGUUCGGAAUAACUCAGGGAAACUUGAGCUAAUACCGGAUACGCCCUUACGGGGAAAGAUUUAUUGCCGAAGGAACGGCCCGCGUCCGAUUAGCUAGUUGGUGAGGUAACGGCUCACCAAGGCGACGAUCGGUAGCUGGUCUGAGAGGAUGACCAGCCUCACUGGGACUGAGACACGGCCCAGACUCCUACGGGAGGCAGCAGUGGGGAAUAUUGGACAAUGGGCGCAAGCCUGAUCCAGCCAUACCGCGUGGAUGAUGAAGGCCUUAGGGUUGUAAACCCCUUUCAGCAGGGACGAAGCGAAAGUGACGGUACCUGCAGAAGAAGCGCGGCUAACUACGUGCCAGCAGCCGC
RNAcentral lists this ribosomal RNA (452 nucleotides) under uncultured bacterium. RNAcentral's name for it is "SSU rRNA". It matches the Rfam family "Bacterial small subunit ribosomal RNA", at positions 26 to 518 of the family's 1533-position model. The record is from RNAcentral.